RNAcentral lists this unclassified non-coding RNA (356 nucleotides) under Homarus americanus (American lobster). RNAcentral describes it as "protein argonaute 4B-like, transcript variant X1". The record is from RNAcentral. Lineage: Eukaryota; Metazoa; Arthropoda; Malacostraca; Decapoda; Nephropidae.
AAUCUUCAAAAAGCACCGCAGCAGUCGGUAGUCAGGUCAUUUGAGUAAUGAUCCGAAGCCUCCACCUAGGACAGAUGUUGGCUCUAAAGGCCUGAAAAUUAACCUGAAGACAAACUAUUUUCCAAUCAGUGUUAAAAAUAAGUUUGCAGAACUGGUUCAUUAUGAUGUCUCUCUAAAAAAACACAACAAAGAUGCAAAUCUUCCACGAAAAACGAAAAUGGAGAUAUUUGAAAAAAUGAAGAUGAUAUAUGAAAAGGAUUUCAAGAAUUACCCACUUGCUUAUGACUCAGAAAGGAAUGCAUACAGUGUGGGUGUCAUCCCUGCUCUUCAAACUCCUGAUUGCCAGAGUACUUAUG